GAGGAAAGUGCGGGCUCCACGGAAGCAUGGUGCCGGGUAACGCCCGGCGGGGGCGACCCCAGGGACAGCGCCACAGAGAACAGACCGCCCGCCUACGCGCUAACGCGCUUUAAGCGGGUAAGGGUGAAACGGUGCGGUAAGAGCGCACCGCGUUCUCGGCAACGAGAGCGGCACGGCAAGCCCCGCCAGGAGCAAGACCAAAUAGGGACGGCGCUAUGGGCUGCUUCAGGCUCGCCGUCCGGGUAGGUCGCGCGAGGCGUCCGGCGACGGACGUCCCAGAGGAAUGGUCAUCCAGUCCGCAAGGAUGGACAGAAUCCGGCUUA
RNAcentral lists this RNase P RNA (323 nucleotides) under unidentified eubacterium clone PS#2. Its description in RNAcentral is "partial ribonuclease P RNA". It matches the Rfam family "Bacterial RNase P class A", at positions 43 to 351 of the family's 367-position model. Rfam says of the family: Ribonuclease P (RNase P) is a ubiquitous endoribonuclease, found in archaea, bacteria and eukarya as well as chloroplasts and mitochondria. Its best characterised activity is the generation of mature 5'-ends of tRNAs by cleaving the 5'-leader elements of precursor-tRNAs. Cellular RNase Ps are ribonucleoproteins. Lineage: Bacteria; Pseudomonadati; Pseudomonadota; Alphaproteobacteria. The record is from RNAcentral.